RNA transcript from Scatophagus argus, 5748 nucleotides. It is a transcript of the gene named dual specificity phosphatase 3a, with no coding region annotated. The transcript has 4 exons. Lineage: Eukaryota; Metazoa; Chordata; Actinopteri; Scatophagidae. The record is from RefSeq and is a predicted model, not a curated record.
UGGGACAAUCAGAGAGCUGAGCUCCCGCCUCAUUACCGGACACCUUGUGGACAAGCAGACAAGGCGCUCACAUGCGGGGCUAAAAUGCAUCAGAAUAACCGGACGAGGCUCACGAGUCUGGUGCGGGUUGUGGUCUAACAGUAGUCUGGCAGAAGAGGAGCCAUGAGGAAACACCUGAGUCCCACAAAACAACAGCAGCAGCAGCAGCAGCAACCACCGGCUGAUGUCCCGGCUCCAGGCGGCGAGGUUACCGUCCAACAGCUCAACGAGCUCCUGUCCAACGGCAGCGGCUUCUACAGCCUCCCGACACAACACUUCAACGAGGUCUUCCCCCGAAUAUACGUCGGCAACGCGUUCGUAGCCCAGAAUGCAAUGCGUCUGCAGAAACUUGGAGUGACGCACGUCCUCAACGUGGCGGAGGGCACCUCGUUCAUGCACGUCAACACCAGUGCGGACUUCUAUGCCGGCACGGGCAUCACAUACCACGGUAUCCAGGCCAAUGACACGGAGCAGUUCAACCUGAGUGCCUUCUUUGAGGAGGGGGCUGACUUUAUCGACAAGGCCCUGGCACACAACAAUGGCAAAGGGAAGGUGUACGUACACUGCAGAGAAGGCUACAGCCGCUCCCCGACCAUGGUUGUUGCUUACCUCAUGCUGCGCCAUAAAAUGGAUGCCCGGCUGGCGGUGGCCACCGUGAGGCACAAGAGAGAAAUCGGCCCCAAUGACGGCUUCCUUCGCCAGCUGUGCCAACUUAACGAGAAGCUGGCAAAGGAGGGCAAGCUGAACGGGGAGGCGGGCAAACUAAAGACCAAAUGAAAGCAGGAGAGGCCCUCUGCGCCGUCUCCUCCCAUCAUGCCUUUCACAGGCUUCAGCUGCUGUCAGAGACUGACCCCCACCCGACCAAACCAGCACCCACACGUCUGACACACCAGGGCUGACUUUACCAGCUUCAAGCUAGCAGCCUUUGGUUUUAGCUGUCAAAUGCAUCAACAGAGGAGGAUGCCACCCGCUUUGAACAGAACGUUCCAGUCAUCUCUGCUGCCAACUCCCUGACACAGCCGUUCGGCCAGUAUCCAGUUCCACUGUUUCAUCAACACAGUUUGUCAGAGGUCCAUACACAACACGUGUCACUCCUAAGUGUGUGUGUGUGUGUGUCACGCCGUAGUGACUUAAUGCACACACAGGGUCAAAUCACAAAGCCUUUUUCUUUGGUUGUAUGUACUAAAGCAUUGCAAUAUAUGUCAAUACCCCAUCAGAUAUAUAGAAUGUAAUCACAUCGAAAUAUGACUAUCCAGGCUGUAGUUGUUUUAUAUACGUAGUCUGACUAUACGUUUUGAAGGAUGCUAUUUAUUACUGGGCAUACUACUGGAGACUAGACCCAGUGCCAGGAAGGACAGGGAUGGAGUUUCUUUAAAACCUGCAGCACGUCGCUCCCCAAGUUGCCUCCGAGGCAAAAUCCCAUGAAAAGUCUGAGAAGUGAGUGAGACGUUAAGGCAAAAACCGUUGAGCUGGAUGACCACCGGCCUCUCUUCGGUUUGUGUCGGUAGUCCAGCCUCUUGUGUGGUUCUCCUGAACAAAUGGCCCUGGGGCGGGGGGCCGUUAGCAUGAAUCCAGGGGGAGUUGAAACUAGGUUGUCUCACCUCAUUAAUGGCACUAUUUAUUCCUCCUUUGAUAUAUCUGUAUACAUAUGAAUAUAUACAUGUAUACUAUAUAUACAUAUUUAAGUGUUGACAUAUAUGAAUGUAUGAGCAAUGUGUCUAUAACGUGUAGGUGUCGUCGGUAUGUCUUUAUAUAUCACAUUGUAUUUGUAUAUGCUCCUCCAUUCUAUCUGUUCCACGGCUGAUUACAUGUACACAACAAUAUUCAGAUCCAGUGUACAUGUAAAACGUGGGGUGUGAUUGUGAUACUCUUUUAUCACAAUUGUGCAAAAGUCGCUUGCAGUCGCAGGGUUUUGUUUUUCCAAGCUUAGCUGGGAUAGCGGGGCAUGUGAUCAUUGUCUUUUGUACAGUUUUAAGUUUCCACGAAGAUGCUAACUUACUCACAUAAAGCAAGAUGCAGGUGGCAGCGUCGGAUGGAUACAGAUUAUUGUCCUGCAAUUCACGACAUCAUGUCAAACUCACCCCAUCACGCGCUCAUUCGGUGCUUCAGAACAUUUACGCCUCAACAGCAGGUUUUCUGUUAAGAUCUGGUUUUCCUUUGGCUGAGAAUGAAGAGAUUCCCCAGCUUUACUCUCCAUUUCAGUGCAAUGUUUUUAGCUGCGGUAGAGCUACAGGAAAGAGAAGUUGUGGCAGCAGUAAUGGAGACCGGCACUAAAUUGAUUUUAUAAGUGUUCUUUUAUUUAUUUCUGUUUCUAAACUAUAUCUCUGAUCUAGGCAUAACGUCAAACCUUUUAGACGAGUGACCUAGAAUCAACGUGCCAAUUUUCUUUAUUAGUUUAAAAGUGAGUAAAUGUUAUGUUCAUGUGCUCUCUCAUAUUGAAAAUCUUUUGAGUUUUGGACUGUUAGUUGAACCCCAAAACUGAUUUUAAUCUUAAUUUCUUAAUUUGUCUUGUAGGUAAGAGAUUAGUCAAGGAAAUCACCAAUUAACAGUGAAAAUAAUUAUGACGUGACUUGCUUCCCUGCAUUGUACGAUGAAUUCUCUCUGGCUUUACGUAAGUUGGAAGCAGCCCAGCCAAAUGAGUGGGGAAAAACGUCUGCAGACUCAAAUUUACAUAAAUCCGUCCAGAAGAGACAUUUUUAGGCUGCGUGUUUAUACGGCGGUCUGUUCUCAUAAAAUCCAAUCUUCAAAUAAAAUCUCGAGACAUGCAUUGAAAUGUGAAGUGCUGCUGUAGCCUUUGGCCAGGAGGACGUAUCAGAGGAGAGAAUAUCAUCACAGGGAGGUAGAAACGAGGCCAGACUGUCUCAAACUUUGCCGAGUGAGAACACGAGUGCAGUUGUGGCGUCUCUCCUGGGGGGCUUCGGGGCUCCCAGCGUUCGUACGCUGGAUGUUCCUGUCCGCUCUCAGCCCUGUCAUCUUGUCGUCUCAUACACUUGAAGAUGUCUCAGAUUUGUGAAGCAGCGCGCUUGAUUUCACACAUUCCUUUGGCAACAUAAAUCGGGUGCAGUAGUUCAAAUCUGAGACCGUUUCCCAGUGCAGUUUAGAGCAUGUGCCACUGGACUUUUUCCCACCACCUCAUCAUGAACCCCAAACCAAACAACACUGACGUUUAUACUGAAGUCUACAAGCAGAGAGAACCACUCACCUCUGUGCCCAAACGUAUAACACGCCAAGCCUGUCUGUGCCAAGUCUUGAAACACUGUUUUGUACAUGUGUUUAAUGUUUAAGGUUGGCUCUUUUGUCUUUCAGAGAAACUGGGGGGGUUCACUUGUACAAAUACAACCACUAACUCUCCGCACUUCAGUGUUCCUUUUGAGCUUUACAUGCAGUUUAUUUUUAAAUUUGGGAAUUACUGGUCUAAAAUUGUUCGAAUCGGUCCAGGAUGAGGGUUUUUACUUUAUAGCAUCAACUGCCUACACCAACCUGCUUACUGAUUGAGAUCAUUGACAUGUUUUACGCAGUCUGUGGUAGCCGAAGUAGCCAUGGUAGAAGUUUUCUGUCACAUUUUUUAGCCACUAAUUACAUGAUAAAAAUUGUACAGCGCUUCCUUUUUGGGUGAAGCAGAGAUGCAACAAAAAGAAAGCUUCUAUGAUGUCUACACUGCCGGUUUCACACUCCUUUAUGCAUCGAGUAACAGAUAAACACUGCCACCUGCUGUUCAACAGAUCUAUUGCAAAAAAUGCUAAUAUUCAUGAUGUUUAGGGUUGGGUUGGUUUCCGGUUUUGCCGUUCGGUCCGGUCUGGUGUACAGUCUUAUAUCAGUUCAGUUCCAAGGAAACUGACUGAACCGACAUUUGUCUACAGGUGGAGCUAAGAGAGCUAAGAUAGCAGCAUGUGGCUAGUUAGCAGGAGGACAGCAGGUCACGCUACGUUGCUUUAAUACAAAGCCUCGUUUUGAGCCUGUUAAUGUUACUGCAAGUUUCAAAUUAAAAGCCCUCCGAGGUUUCACUGGACAGAAAUCCCUUCAUCCUCUUUCAACAAGGCUUUUAUUGUGAAACAUUUGUGGGAACAUGUUUCCAAGGUUCCCUUGUUGCACUUGAACUGUAGCAGCUGCUAUCUUUUCUUGCCGGACUGAAGUCUUAUUUUAUUUAUUAUUUGUUGAUGGCAAACCUUAAGAAGAAAGAAUAAACUGGGUGGUUGUGAGAAAUAGCAGCACCAUGUGUCACAGCUGUCCUGAUGGAUUGUGGUGCCGCUACACUCGUGUGCAGGACGGCUGCUGCCUCAAGUGCGACACCUAGUGGUAAAACCCGGUCCGGCUUUAAACCGGUCCAACCCUAAUAAUGUUUGUUACUCAUGAUAUCAUAAAUAUUUCAAAUCCAACCACAAAACCAUUUUUUUCUUCCUCAUUGUGAAACCCUGUAAUUUCUUUUGUUUAAUGAAGUACCAGCAUCAUUCUGUGGGUUAUACUCCAGGUAUAUACUAUGUUAAUGAGAAUGUCAAAUGUGAAAUGCCAUUAAUGUAUAUCGUUAUAUAUUCUGAGUAUGUAACACGCACUAAGGCAAUUGUGAAUUGCUGAAUUUUGCUAUCUUAACUGGCCUAAUAUAUAGAUAGGACAUUGUCUGAUAUUGAGUGAGUUGAAACUGCAGAUGAAACAUUCUGAUUUCUUUUCUCCUCAAAGUAAAGUGAGUUAAUUUUUUUAAUUUGAAUUUGUCCUGUUACAAGGAUGUGAUUUGAUUUUGUGUUUGGAUCUUUGCUUUGCUAGUAAAGAAGGCAAUUUUUUGUAAAGUAGGAAAGACGAAAAAGUUAAUGAAAGUGAGAUUGUAACCUGCUUCUCCAACUUGGCCAUUAAGCUGACCACAGUUUGUCAUUAUCCAUGUUGUUUUUGGAUCUUAUGGGAGUCGGUCUGGGAACAGAAGGUGAUUGUUACUGAUCCCCAGUGCUUGUUGCCUUACCAGAGUGGAGGAUUGUAAAAUCAUUCGCAGGGAGCCUGGUAGUGUUCUAUCACAGAAAAAUACUUCAAAUUGACUUUUGUUCCAAUUUGCUGUCCCGUGUGGCAUAUCUCAGCCAUCUGCGCUGAAACAGUGAAAAACCUGAGAAGUUUAAACCCUCUGUGACUGACAGUUGAUAUCCUCCAUCAUGGAAACUCCUCUGGCUGAACUUUUGUCCAUGAUGCAGUAAACUCCAUCUGGUACUCUUGAGAGCAUUCAAACAAACACUGGGAAUUACUUACAAAUCCUGCUUGGCCCAGGUGAUGUGCCGACACCAGAGCUCCCGUCUUCUUCUUCUUGCUCCCAUUACAGCAGGAGUUUUAGCACAAAUGAGCCCACUGCCUGACUCCUCCUGGAGUCCAUUCCAUUGUCGACGUCUUGUCUCACGGUUUCGUUUCUGUUAAUGUGCAGAUGUCGCAAAAGGACCUCGUUGUGGCGUUGGAUUGUCUGUUAAUGGGUAUGUUCUCAUAUGUGUUCGUCGCCGCCACUGACAUCUCAGAAGUAACGACACAGCAGCCCACCCGAAGCCUUACAGUAAAGAUUGAUUCCUUAGAGUGUUUUUGAGUUUGAGUGUCUCACUUCACACAGUAGGAAGGGAUGGUUCCCUUACAGAACGAGGCAACGUUGAAGUGCACUUGAUUUUAAACUGCAAUGUUAUUUUUCUUACCUUGGAGAAGUCCCUUUUUUCUUAUGUUUAAGAAAUAAAUGGCUGAGGUAUUAACAAA